RNAcentral lists this unclassified non-coding RNA (333 nucleotides) under fungal sp. Its description in RNAcentral is "partial internal transcribed spacer region". The stretch from base 1 to 46 matches the Rfam family "Eukaryotic small subunit ribosomal RNA", at positions 1786 to 1831 of the family's 1831-position model. The record is from RNAcentral. Lineage: Eukaryota; Fungi.
AAGUCGUAACAAGGUUUCCGUAGGUGAACCUGCGGAAGGAUCAUUAACACGUAUCCAACGUUAAACCCCCCUGUGAACUUUUACACUUGCUCUCGAAGCUCGCCGGAAUUGCAAUCCCUGGUAAAUCAUUGUUGAACAGAUUUGAUUCAGGGACCUCAGUUUGGUGAGUUAGAUCCGAGCGAUCGUUGCAAGUGGCCUGGUUUCCCCAAGCAGUCAGUGUCUGAAAGUGUCAUUGAUUGUGUAAGGAUAACGCUUUUCGAUCACUAGAGGCCGACACCGGCCGGUGACCAGGUCCAAAACGAACAACUGUUAACAAUGGAUAUCUUGGUUCUC